This 432-nucleotide ribosomal RNA is filed under the name uncultured bacterium. RNAcentral's name for it is "partial 16S ribosomal RNA". It matches the Rfam family "Bacterial small subunit ribosomal RNA", at positions 29 to 506 of the family's 1533-position model. The record is from RNAcentral.
AACGAACGCUGGCGGCAUGCCUAACACAUGCAAGUCGAACGAGACCUUCGGGUCUAGUGGCGCACGGGUGCGUAACGCGUGGGAACCUGCCCUUAGGUUCGGAAUAACUCCCCGAAAGGGGUGCUAAUACCGGAUAAUGUCUUCGGACCAAAGAUUUAUCGCCUUUGGAUGGGCCCGCGUUGGAUUAGCUAGUUGGUAGGGUAAAAGCCUACCAAGGCGACGAUCCAUAGCUGGUCUGAGAGGAUGAUCAGCCACACUGGGACAGAGACACGGCCCAGACUCCUACGGGAGGCAGCAGUGGGGAAGAUUGGACAAUGGGCGAAAGCCUGAUCCAGCAAUGCCGCGUGAGUGAUGAAGGCCUUAGGGUUGUAAAGCUCUUUUACCCGGGAUGAUAAUGACAGGACCGGGAGAAUAAGCUCCGGCGAACUCCGC